RNAcentral lists this ribosomal RNA (484 nucleotides) under uncultured bacterium. RNAcentral's name for it is "partial 16S ribosomal RNA". It matches the Rfam family "Bacterial small subunit ribosomal RNA", at positions 30 to 507 of the family's 1533-position model. The record is from RNAcentral.
AUUGAACGCUGGCGGCAGGCCUAACACAUGCAAGUCGAGCGGAUGAAGGGAGCUUGCUCCUGGAUUCAGCGGCGGACGGGUGAGUAAUGCCUAGGAAUCUGCCUGGUAGUGGGGGAUAACGUCCGGAAACGGGCGCUAAUACCGCAUACGUCCUGAGGGAGAAAGUGGGGGAUCUUCGGACCUCACGCUAUCAGAUGAGCCUAGGUCGGAUUAGCUAGUUGGUGGGGUAAAGGCCUACCAAGGCGACGAUCCGUAACUGGUCUGAGAGGAUGAUCAGUCACACUGGAACUGAGACACGGUCCAGACUCCUACGGGAGGCAGCAGUGGGGAAUAUUGGGCAAUGGGCGAAAGCCUGAUCCAGCAAUGCCGCGUGUAUGAAGAAGGUCUUCGGAUUGUAAAGCACUUUAAGUUGGGAGGAAGGGAAGUAAGUUAAUACCUUGCUGUUUUGACGUUACCAACAGAAUAAGCACCGGCUAACUUCGUG